AAAACUGAACCGAAUUACCAAAUUUCAUUGGUUUGGUUGGUUUAUUUGGUUCAAACAGAAUAAUGCUUAACCCUACAUAAAAGAAUGCACAAAAGACACUUGGGUUAAAAGGAAAAAGAAGAACAAAAAAAAAGGUUAAUAAUGAAAAAUAUAUCAAACUUUAAAGAAUCCAAAAAAAUCUCUAGCAGCGGCCAGCCAUAGACACCAGAAUGUUCCUCCCUUCUACGUUUUUGGAAACCGCCGCCCGCCCG
RNAcentral lists this unclassified non-coding RNA (251 nucleotides) under Hevea brasiliensis (rubber tree). Lineage: Eukaryota; Viridiplantae; Streptophyta; Magnoliopsida; Malpighiales; Euphorbiaceae. The record is from RNAcentral.